RNAcentral lists this ribosomal RNA (223 nucleotides) under uncultured bacterium. Its description in RNAcentral is "partial 16S ribosomal RNA". It matches the Rfam family "Bacterial small subunit ribosomal RNA", at positions 15 to 236 of the family's 1533-position model. The record is from RNAcentral.
GAUCCUGCUCAGGACGAACGCUGGCGGCACGCUUAACACAUGCAAGUCGAACGAGAGAAGAGAAGCUUGCUUUUCUGAUCUAGUGGCGGACGGGUGAGUAACACGUGAGCAAUCUGCCUUUCAGAGGGGGAUACCGAUUGGAAACGAUCGUUAAUACCGCAUAAUAUAAUUGAACCGCAUGAUUUGAUUAUCAAAGAUUUAUCGCUGAAAGAUGAGCUCGCGU